CAUAAACCCUUUGUGAACUUAUACCUUACUGUUGCCUCGGCGCAGGCUGGUCCCCCGCGCGGGGACCCCUCGGUGACGACGAUCGGCCGGCCGGUGGCCANNCGAACUCUUGUUUUUUACCUGAAACUCUGAGGAAAUUACACAUAAUGAAUCAGAACUUUCAACAACGGAUCUCUUGGUUCUGGCAUCGAUGAAGAACGCAGCGAAAUGCAAUAAGUAAUGUGAAUUGCAGAAUUCAUCGAAUCAUCGAAUCUUUGAACGCAGAUUGCGCCCUCUGGUAUUCCGGAGGGCAUGCCUGUUCGAGCGUCAUUUCUACCCUCAGGCCCAGCUUGUUGAUCGGGCUCUGCUUGUCAAGACGAGCAGGCCCUGAAAUCUAGUGGCNAGCUCGCCAGGACUCCGAGCGCAGUAGUUUAAACCCUCGCUGCGGAAGUUCUGGUGUGGCCCUGCCGUAAACACCCGACUUCUGAAAAAU
RNAcentral lists this ribosomal RNA (472 nucleotides) under Diaporthe torilicola. RNAcentral's name for it is "eukaryotic LSU rRNA". The stretch from base 156 to 309 matches the Rfam family "5.8S ribosomal RNA". Lineage: Eukaryota; Fungi; Ascomycota; Sordariomycetes; Diaporthales; Diaporthaceae. The record is from RNAcentral.